RNAcentral lists this unclassified non-coding RNA (370 nucleotides) under Conioexocarpus cretaceus. RNAcentral describes it as "Leucocoprinus cretaceus partial internal transcribed spacer region". The stretch from base 1 to 46 matches the Rfam family "Eukaryotic small subunit ribosomal RNA", at positions 1786 to 1831 of the family's 1831-position model. Lineage: Eukaryota; Fungi; Basidiomycota; Agaricomycetes; Agaricales; Agaricaceae. The record is from RNAcentral.
AAGUCGUAACAAGGUUUCCGUAGGUGAACCUGCGGAAGGAUCAUUAUUGAAUAUUCUCGAUGGGUUGUAGCUGGCUGCGGAAGGAUCAUUAUUGAAUAUUCUCGAUGGGUUGUAGCUGGCUCCUCGGAGCAUGUGCACGCCUGUCUUGACUCUAUUCAUCCACCUGUGCACCUAUUGUAGUCUCAUUUGAGAGUAGUCGGUCGGCAAGACCGGAUGUGAGGGAUGCAGCGCGAAAGUGCGGCACCUCUCUGGCUCUCGGUGGACUAUGUCUUUAUUCAUAAACCAUGUAGUAUGUUGCAGAAUGUAUUCAAUGGGCCUUUGUGCCUAUAAAAACCUUAUACAACUUUCAGCAACGGAUCUCUUGGCUCUC